UGCGCAGGCGGCUUUGCAAGUCGGGAGUGAAAUCCCAGGGCUUAACCCUGGAAUUGCUUUCGAAACUGCAAGGCUUGAGUCUCGGAGAGGUUGGCGGAAUUCCCAGUGUAGAGGUGAAAUUCGUAGAUAUUGGGAGGAACACCAGUGGCGUAAGCGGCCAACUAGACGAGUACUGACGCUCAAGCACGAAAGCGUGGGAUCAAACA
RNAcentral lists this ribosomal RNA (206 nucleotides) under uncultured bacterium. Its description in RNAcentral is "partial 16S ribosomal RNA". It matches the Rfam family "Bacterial small subunit ribosomal RNA", at positions 568 to 774 of the family's 1533-position model. The record is from RNAcentral.